This is a long non-coding RNA of Hypanus sabinus (Atlantic stingray), 364 nucleotides long. RefSeq lists it as uncharacterized. The record is from RefSeq and is a predicted model, not a curated record. Lineage: Eukaryota; Metazoa; Chordata; Chondrichthyes; Myliobatiformes; Dasyatidae. The transcript is spliced from 3 exons.
CAGAUCCGUUGAAUUCCAAAGGGAGCAGCCGGAAGCCGUCCUCUGGCCCAGAGAAAGAGACGUGCUCAGUGAAGGGGCUCCCAUCAAAGGACGAGUGUGAGGAGAUGAUCAACAGUGCCCAAGUGUUCAUUAUUGGGAAGAACAAACUGGGAAACCCCGAGGAGCGAGAGGCCUACAUCCGUCAGGUGCGUGAGAUGCUGAUGGAACAGCUCCCCUGCAAGCACGUCCCGUCCAAGAGUGAACACGACAGUGGGGGAGGGAAUUGAGAAGGAAGGUGUCAGAUUGUGAUCUUCCAACGUGUCACAGGCUGAUGGACGGUGGUGACGUGUGUGAGGUGUUCGUGGGGUGUGGAGUGGGGCACCAG